Hippoglossus stenolepis (Pacific halibut) is the source of this 3528-nucleotide RNA transcript. It is a transcript of the gene named ATPase sarcoplasmic/endoplasmic reticulum Ca2+ transporting 1, like, with no coding region annotated. Lineage: Eukaryota; Metazoa; Chordata; Actinopteri; Pleuronectiformes; Pleuronectidae. The transcript has 25 exons. The record is from RefSeq and is a predicted model, not a curated record.
UGCGGCCAUUCGCUCUUUCUGUCAGUCCAGGAUUCCUGAAUAGGAGGGUGCCACACUUAAGGUGAGGGUGGUGGAUCAAGGUUAAGACCUGCAGAGAACAACAAAGAAGUAAAAGAGGGACGGAAAGACACGGUUAGACGAAAGAUACCUCGUCUAUCCAGCAAGGAUGGAGAACUCUCACAUGAAGCUCCCGGCGGAGUGCCUGACGCACUUUGGGGUGAACGAGAUCACCGGUCUCACCCCCGACCAGUUCAAGAAGAACCUGGACAAAUAUGGCUAUAAUGAGUUGCCGGCUGAGGAGGGUAAGAGCAUCUGGGAGCUGAUCAUGGAGCAGUUCGAGGACCUGCUCGUCAGGAUCCUGCUGCUGGCUGCCUGCAUCUCUUUUGUGCUGGCCUGGUUCGAGGAAGGCGAGGAGACCAUCACCGCCUUCGUGGAGCCCUUCGUCAUCCUUCUUAUCCUGAUCGCCAAUGCCAUCGUCGGAGUAUGGCAGGAACGUAACGCUGAAGACGCCAUUGAGGCUCUUAAGGAGUAUGAGCCUGAGUUGGGCAAGGUCUACCGUUCUGACAGAAAGAGUGUGCAGAUAAUCAAGGCCAGAGAAAUUGUCCCUGGAGAUAUUGUGGAGGUGUCCGUUGGUGACAAAGUCCCCGCUGACAUCAGGCUUGUUUCAAUCAAGUCCACCACCCUGCGUGUUGACCAGUCCAUCCUUACUGGUGAGUCCGUCAGUGUGAUCAAACACACUGAGGCCGUCCCAGACCCCAGAGCUGUCAACCAGGACAAGAAGAACAUGCUUUUCUCUGGCACCAACAUCGCUGCUGGCAAGGCCAUCGGUGUGGCUGUGUCCACCGGAGUCUCCACUGAGAUUGGCAAGAUCCGUGACCAGAUGGCCUCCACCGAGCAGGAGAAGACUCCUCUGCAGGCCAAGAUGGACGAGUUCGGCGAGCAGCUGUCCAAGGUCAUCUCCCUGAUCUGCGUUGCUGUCUGGGCCAUCAACAUUGGCCACUUCAACGACCCCGUCCACGGAGGCUCAUGGAUCCGUGGCGCCGUCUACUACUUCAAGAUCGCUGUCGCUCUGGCCGUGGCUGCCAUCCCUGAGGGUCUGCCCGCUGUCAUCACCACCUGCCUGGCCCUCGGUACCCGCCGUAUGGCUAAGAAGAACGCCAUCGUCAGAAGCCUGCCCUCUGUGGAGACCCUUGGCUGCACCUCCGUCAUCUGCUCUGACAAAACUGGCACCCUCACCACCAACCAGAUGUGUGUGACCAAGAUGUUCAUUGUCAAGAAUGUUGAUGGCGAGCAUGUUGACCUUGAUGCCUUCGAUAUCUCUGGAUCUAAGUACACCCCCGAGGGCGACGUUUCCCAGGGAGGUGCCAAGACCAACUGCAGUGCUUACGACGGUCUUGUUGAGCUGUCCACCAUCUGCUCCCUGUGCAACGACUCAUCUCUGGAUUACAACGAGACCAAGAAGAUCUUUGAGAAGGUCGGUGAGGCUACUGAGACCGCCCUGUGCUGCCUGGUUGAGAAGAUGAACGUGUUCAACAGCAACGUGAAGAACCUGUCCAAGAUUGAUAGAGCCAACGCCUGCUGCUCCGUGAUCAAGCAGCUCAUGAAUAAGAAGUUCACCCUGGAGUUCUCCCGUGACAGGAAGUCCAUGUCUGUGUACUGCACCCCAAGCAAGGGUGACGGUGGCGCCAAGAUGUUCGUGAAGGGUGCCCCCGAGGGUGUGAUUGACAGGUGCGCAUAUGUGCGUGUUGGCACCACCCGCGUGCCCCUGACCAACGCCAUCAAGGAUAAGAUCCUGGCUGUCAUCAAAGACUGGGGUUGCGGCCGUGACACCCUGCGUUGUCUGGCCCUGGCCACAUGCGACUCCCCACUGAAGCCAGAGGAGAUGGUCCUUGAGGACUCUACCAAGUUCGCCAACUACGAGACUGAUAUGACCUUUGUUGGCUGCGUGGGUAUGCUGGAUCCCCCCCGUAAGGAGGUCAUGGGCUCCAUUGUGCAGUGCAGAGAGGCUGGAAUCCGUGUCAUUAUGAUCACUGGUGAUAACAAGGGAACCGCCAUCGCUAUCUGCCGCCGCAUUGGCAUCUUCACCGAGAACGAGGAUGUUUCCGACAAGGCCUACACCGGACGUGAGUUUGACGAUCUGCCCAGCAGUGAACAGGGAGAGGCCGUGCGCAGGGCUUGCUGCUUUGCCCGUGUGGAGCCAGCCCACAAGUCCAAGAUUGUGGAGUUCCUGCAGAGUUACGAUGAUAUUACUGCUAUGACUGGUGAUGGUGUGAACGAUGCCCCUGCCCUGAAGAAGGCCGAGAUCGGCAUCGCCAUGGGCUCUGGCACUGCUGUUGCCAAGUCUGCCUCUGAGAUGGUCCUGGCUGACGACAACUUCUCUUCCAUUGUGGCUGCUGUUGAGGAGGGCAGAGCCAUCUACAACAACAUGAAGCAGUUCAUCCGCUACCUCAUCUCCUCCAACGUUGGUGAGGUCGUCUGUAUCUUCCUGACUGCCGCCCUCGGUCUGCCCGAGGCCCUGAUCCCCGUCCAGCUGCUGUGGGUCAACCUGGUGACUGACGGUCUGCCCGCCACCGCUCUGGGCUUCAACCCCCCUGAUCUGGACAUCAUGGGCAAGCCCCCACGUUCCGCCAAGGAGCCCCUGAUCUCUGGCUGGCUGUUCUUCAGAUACAUGGCUAUCGGUGGAUACGUCGGUGCCGCCACUGUCGGUGGUGCUGCCUGGUGGUUCAUGUACGAUAGCACUGGUCCCGGAGUCACCUACUACCAGCUGUCCCACUUCAUGCAGUGCUGCGAUGACAACGAGGACUUCGCCGGCCUGGACUGCCACAUCUUUGAAGCCUCUCCUCCCAUGACCAUGGCCCUGUCUGUGCUGGUCACCAUUGAGAUGUGCAACGCCCUCAACAGCUUGUCUGAGAAUCAGUCUCUGCUGCGCAUGCCCCCAUGGAGCAACUUCUGGCUGCUUUCCGCCAUGACCCUCUCCAUGUCCCUUCACUUCAUGAUCAUCUAUGUUGACCCCCUGCCCAUGAUCUUCAAGUUGACCCAUCUGAGUGUUGAGCAGUGGCUCAUGGUCCUGAAGCUUUCCUUCCCCGUCAUCUUAAUUGAUGAGGUCCUGAAGUUCGCCGCCCGUAACUACGUUGAGAAGUAAAUUCAAUCAACCCACCAACAUUAGCCUAUAACUAAACCAAGUGAGAUGCCUCAGCAGAAGGCAAACAACAUUAAUAGAGAUGUAGAAGAAGAGGAUCUUAAUGGUUGGAGAGAAAGAGGUGGAGAAGGAGAGAGAGAGGAGAAGAAGAUCACAACCAAAGAGGGGAGCCAUAGUGAGCCAACCCAAAGAAGAGGAGAAAACACAAGAAAACAUACCAAAAAAAAAAAAAAAAAAAUUCAUCAAAAAACACAAAACAUAAAAAUAGCCUCUAUAUAAGGAAGGAGAUUUAAUUAAAAUGAAGGGAAGUAUCCAUACAGAUAAAAAUAUUUAAGAUUUUAUUCUAAGAAAUAAAGUAUGUAUUAAAAGUGAUUUUUUUGUUAAACUUG